AACGUAGGUGGCAAGCGUUAUCCGGAUUUACUGGGCGUAAAGGGUGUGCAGGCGGGGGAGCAAGUGGGGGCUGAAAUCUCCAGGCUUAACCUGGAGGGGUUAUGCCAGACUGCUGCUCUAGAGGACGAGAGAGGGGGGUGGAAUUCCGGGUGUAGUGGUGAAAUGCGUAGAUAUCGGGAGGAACACCUGUGGCGAAAGCGGCUCACUGGACCACAACUGACGCUGAGGCGCGAAAGCUAGGGGAGCAAACAGG
This 253-nucleotide ribosomal RNA is filed under the name uncultured bacterium. RNAcentral describes it as "partial 16S ribosomal RNA". It matches the Rfam family "Bacterial small subunit ribosomal RNA", at positions 524 to 776 of the family's 1533-position model. The record is from RNAcentral.